This is a long non-coding RNA of Octopus sinensis (East Asian common octopus), 104 nucleotides long. RefSeq lists it as uncharacterized. The record is from RefSeq and is a predicted model, not a curated record. The transcript has 3 exons. Lineage: Eukaryota; Metazoa; Mollusca; Cephalopoda; Octopoda; Octopodidae.
AGUUUUCUUUUUUGGCUGUUGCUCAUUACAAAUGAAAUUUGUAAUGGCUUCUCUGAAGGAUAGGCAUCCGACCACCAGGGUAGACCCCUUGCUUUUUCUUUCCU